CCGGAAUAGCUCAGUCGGUAGAGCAGAGGACUGAAAAUCCUCGU
RNAcentral lists this transfer RNA (44 nucleotides) under Metzgeria frontipilis. RNAcentral describes it as "partial tRNA-Phe". Lineage: Eukaryota; Viridiplantae; Streptophyta; Jungermanniopsida; Metzgeriales; Metzgeriaceae. The record is from RNAcentral. RNAcentral also lists the same sequence under 2 other names.